CUCCCCACAGCAAAAAAAAUUUUCAGUCAUCCCUGACAAAAAUGCCUUUAAGAGAGAGUCAGGCAUCAUGGCUCACAUGUGUAAUGACAGCUACAUGGUACAGUGAGGUUGGAGAAUUUCUGCAGCCCAGGAUUUCAAGAGCAGCCCAGGUGAUAAGCAAGACCCCAUCUCCAACGUGCAUGCCUUUAAGAGUGCUUUGAGACCCAGGGAGGGAGCUGUGAAACUCUGCUGAAGCCCAACAUUGAGGAGUGGUCCUUUUCAGAGGGCAGGUCCUCAUUCAGGAGGGAAACUACAGAAUCCCUGGUCUUACAGAUUAAGAAAUGGCCCAACCAACCUGGUCCCACUGAGAAUUCUGAAGUUAACUCUGUAACCAUCCCAACCUUCUCCCAGUUAGUCUAGGAGAGGUCCUGCCCUUCGGGAGACUUGGAGGAAGAUAUCUAUUUGCAGCCAUGCAGGCAGGCCUACAGACCUUGUUUUCACUGUGGUCCCUAAAGCAGUUCAAUGACUCAGUCCAGCUCUCUGAGCCACAGUUCAUGACCAGUUUUGCCUAAAUAUAAACCCGCACAAUGACCUGAGGAAACCCUCUCUGGUACUCAUUGAAAGCCAUACUCAUUUACAUCCUGAUACAAGGGCCAUUAUAUAUGGACCCGACUACAGAAACGUGCCCUACAGAUCAAAAUCCUGAAGGAUAUUCAAUCUGUC
This is a long non-coding RNA of Sapajus apella (tufted capuchin), 702 nucleotides long. RefSeq lists it as uncharacterized. NCBI's taxonomy places the organism in Eukaryota, Metazoa, Chordata, Mammalia, Primates, Cebidae. The record is from RefSeq and is a predicted model, not a curated record. The transcript has 3 exons.